AGAAGGCGCCGGGGCAAGCGGCCUGUUGGCGCCCAGUUUCAGCUGGCUGUUCCCGCUAGCAUCAGGGCUCGAUCGUAGAGGACGCGGCAGCCGCAGCUCGCGGAGAACAGCGGGCAGAGCUGUGGGCUGCACGCGCCCCUGCAGCCACCGGGCGUCCCGCAGAGGCUCCCGCGCCCUGCGGCGACUUCCGCCCCCGCGCUCCCCUUUGUCCGAGUCCCCAAGCGGCGGCGGCGGGGUAGGAGCCCACGCCGUGGGCGACUGAGGCGGCGGCAGUCCGCGUCCCGGCGCCCUGGAGAUGCCGGACCAGAUCUCCGUGUCGGAAUUCGUGGCCGAGACCCUUGAGGACUACAAGGCGCCCACGGCCUCUAGCUUCACCACGGGCACGGCCCAGUGCCGGAACACCAUGGCGGCCAUCGAGGAGGUUAAGCUGUUCCCCGGAAUGUUUUAACAACAGGGCAUACCCAGGUGAAUUAUACCCUUUUGGGGUUCAGACCUCGCUCAACUGGAGACCUGCCUGUCUGUGCAAAGCCCAGUGCCCCACAUGAAUGGUUUAGUCUCCACUGCCAGCUGCCAUGGGCAAGCAGAACAGCAAACUGGGUCCUGAGGUGCUGCAGGACCUGCGGAAAACAGGGAGUUCACCCACCAUGAGCUUCAGGAGUGGUACAAGGGCUUCCUCAAUGACUGUCCCACUGGCCACCUGACUGUGGACAAUUUCAAGAUCUAGGCCAACUUCUUCCCCUACAGAGAUUCCUCCAAGUUUGCUGAACAUGUCUUCCACACCUUUGACACCAACAGCGACAGCACCAUCGACUUUCAAGAGUUCAUCAUUGCUCUGAUCAUGACCUCUCGGGGCAAGCUGGAACAGAAGCUCAAGUGGGCCUUCAGAAUGUCUGAACUAGACAGCAAUAGCUACUUCAGCUGCAGUGAAAUGCUGGAGAUAGUGCAGGUACCUGCACUUGACAGGGCCUGGAGCAUGGGGAGUGCAGGGACCCAGGACCCCUAUCCCCGACCCCAUACACCAGGUCAUUCCUCUGCCCACUUGCUACCUGCUGUAUUAAAGGACUGGAGGUCUUUGCAGCGAGGAAUGAUAAAAGCCAAGCAUCUAUCGAUUGCUUGCUGGACAUCAGGCCCCAGCUGAGCUCAUCCAUCAGGUUUAUUCACACACUUCUAUAAAACGGGUCUUUUUUUUUUUUAAACAAAACAAAACAAAACAAAACAAAACAAAACAAAACAAAACAAAACAAAACAAAACAAAACAAAACAACCUCUAAUGAGAUCUGAGGCUCAGAUAGGUGAUUAAGAAUUGUCAAAGCAAGAACUGGGAAAAUGGCUCAGUGGGGAAGAACACUUGAUACCUAGCAUGAGGACCUGAGUUCUGAUCCCAACACACACGGAAAAGUCAGGAGUGGCUGAGCUGCCCCAAUCCCUAGAACUAGGGGAUAAAUGAGUCCCAGAAGCUUGCUGAGCAGGCACCCUAGCUAAAAUGGUAAGCCCCGGCCGGGUUCAGUGAGAGAGAAAAGGGAACACUGUGAACACCGGUAUUCCUGUUUGGCCUCUGCACAGGUGGGUGUUCAUCUGCACACAUAUGUAUAACAUACAUACACAUUAGUUGUCUGUAGGGCUUCCUAUAGAAAUCAGAACGACACAGUAAAGGAUGAGUCAGCAGUCAGUUCUUCACAGGAGCGAUGCUUAUGUGCACCCUGCAUCCUUCCUGCUCCAUGCUCUAAACCAUCUCUGUAUUUGGUCCAGUGGGCUGACUCUGUGGGUAAAGGUGCUUGCUACCAAGCCUGGCAGCCUGGGUUCAAUCCCUAAGACCCACAUGGUAGGAAAAGAGAACCAGCUUCCACAAGUUGUCCUCUGAAUUCCAUGUGAGAUCAUCUCCCCCAAAUAAAUAAUUACAUACAUCCAUAAAAUAAGUAAAGUACUUAUAUACAGUGCCUAAUACAACUAUAGAUGUUAAUAAUAAUUUGUAUUAUUUGGGAAAUAACAAGAAACUGUCUGUGU
This 2004-nucleotide long non-coding RNA is filed under the name Mus musculus (house mouse). Its description in RNAcentral is "RIKEN cDNA 3110053B16 gene". Lineage: Eukaryota; Metazoa; Chordata; Mammalia; Rodentia; Muridae. The record is from RNAcentral.